GCUUAUCUAACUCAUUUAACUCAAGCAGGCCAUGUAUACCAAUAUACAGAAUACACUCAUGCCAUUGACAUUGUUGGUAUACCGAAAUUAAAUAGAUCAAGACGUACUAACAUCGACCGUAUGCCGAAAUUCCUCGUUUCUGCCGACUUUAAGGUAUACAAUUCAUAUUUAUGUACAAUACUAUAACAAUAGUCAAUAUAGAGCAAUUCAAUGUACCCUUGAAGAUGUUAUUUAUAGUAAUAUGUCGAGACGAGCGUUCUAUUAUUGUCGUAUAACUUUAGCUAUAAAGAAGUGUAUAGCGGAAGACGUCAAUUAUAAACAAGAAAGUUGAUUAUUUGCCUUAUCGUUUCAUUCUAACCCCAGGUUCAUCGAGUGUCCCUUUCUUCCUUUAGCAAACGUAAACAAUAUGAUUAUCCGAUAAACGCAGUGCAAAGAAACCUUUAAUCUUUAUCGCGUUCCCGGUCCAGUAAAAUAAUGAGAAUAAAUCUCUUCGGACAUGCUUCACAUGAGCCGAUUUGUCUUCUAGCGACAUAUCGCAACUCUAAUCAUAUGUUUGGUGCCGUAAUGAACUAUUAGUAAGGAUUUUACUAUCUCAUUAGGCCAAGGCAAACAAAUUAAAGAUGUGUACGUAAUAAAAGUCAAAUAAAUAGGAACGUUCUGUGUUGUGGUUUUAAUUCCUCACUCCACGUGGUCGGAUUGACGUGUCCACAUAAAGCUGGAGACUUAUAUUUCGAAGAUUAGCUAGCUUUAUAAUCGAACCUAACACCUUUAAAGAGUGGCACUGAAGUGAUAUAAUCUCGGUUUGCACUUAAACACGGAUUUUCCGUCGAGCCCGACAUAACAAAACGCUCUUUUAGAAUUAGCAAAUCUCGGCUAAUUAACACAAAAGCAACGAAGCAGCACCCCGCAAUCGCGAAAUCUUCACCUAUCGUGAUGGUUUUUUCAACAUUUUGCUUACCUACAGCGAUAUUCAAUGUCUCGUGCCACUCUACAAUUCUCUCAGCACCCCAAAAUGUUUGUAUAUGAUCCGGGUUUACGGCCACUGCUGUCAACUCUAAAGUUACAUUGUUUAUGCAUUUUUCAACAGUGGCGACAGCUAGGCGCCCUCUCGCCCUCUGUAUAAAUUUGAUCUUUUGUAGUGGCAGAGAAUACUGAAAAUAGCGUACACAUUCAACUAAUUUUUUGACCUUAUUUUUUAUACCGCCUGCUAUUUACCUUGUGUCUUGGCUACAUUUUUUUACACACGUGACGCGUUUUUCUGCUUAGAAGCAAAUAACGCGAUGCUUCUCAAGAGUUAACAGCUGAUUGCUAUUCUCUCUCUCUCAACCAAAUUUUGCAUGUAUUUCUUACCAAUGAGCAAGCCAAUGCGGCAUAUCAGACAUAUGCAUGCACAUUUACACAAUUACAAAUAUGUACUUUUGUCCGCGUAUACAUUUUCGAGCAUGUGUUAAACUGUUUCUCGCCUCAUUUCAAAUUUUUCGUGUUUUGAAAGUGAGCUGAUAAACGUUUUGGGUGGCCUUUGACUUGAGGGCGGAACGACCUGACAAAACUCAUUCCAGAUUCCAUUCUUCUUAAUUGUAAAAAUCAGGCAGUUUGAUUUCCGUAGUUUAAAUGCGAACCAGAAGGAAUGAUAUUAUAUUCUAGGCUCCUUUCUGGCGAGCAACGUAAGUUGUACAAUGCAUUGAUGCGAAUUAUGAAAAAUGCCUGCUUGUGGGAUACGUGCAAUACUUGGAAUUUUUCCUUCAUUGGCCAUUAGCUUCCAGUUAAUUUUGACAAGGACAUGCGCAAGAAGCAUGCGCAAGAAAGGCAAAUAUUCCACAAAUCUCGGCAUUAUAUCAAGACUGUUUAAUUAAAGAAAAGAUUUUAAUCUGGAUUUUGAUGAAUGUCAAAAUAUUUUUUGGAGGACCAAAUUUUUCUCAUGUUAUUUUUCUUGCAAUUUACUCUUCAUCCCACAUUUACAUCCGUCCACACUCCUACUACAGUACUAGUUUCAUUCAGUUCAAUGUCAGUUGCUAUACAGUUGCUCAGCUUCUCAUUGCGUUUUGAUACAUUACUAAUUGCUCAAUAGUCAGUACCAGGUAAAGCUAUACCCAGAUGAACGCAAAAAUUCCUGCUUGUUUUUACAUCCAGUACCUUGAUUCAAUCAACAGUCGAACAGGUUUUGGAAAAGGCUGUAAGUCUAUUAAUAAUGAUAUAAUGGCCCUAUAAUUGUGACGUUACUGUAGUUCCACGGAUUUGGUAGCAGGAUUCUCAUGUAAAACGGAGCCGCAUCACUACUAAGUUUCUGCUCACACAGCUUGUACUGGAGCUAAUUGUUGAGCUUAUAAUGUUAUACUAGAGCAUGUUCUUGCGCAAUAUGUGACUACCACUGAUCAUUUGUUUUAUCGAAUAUCGAUGAUCAAGUAAAUGAGUAAAUGUUCAUUAGGGUGUGACGGGAAGACCUAAUAGACAACUUGCAUGUUAGACAAAUUUGUGAUUUAGGCAAAAAAAAGUAAAUUCCCGUAAAGAGCUUAGUAAAAUCAGUAAAAUUGCAAAAUUUGGUUGCGAAAUGUUGUUAAAUGCAGAAAAUAUAGCCUUGCCAAGUUUGCAAUUUUCAGUCAUUUUGUAUUACGUUUUGCGAGCCGAAAAUGGUAACAAUUUCCGCACGUAAUACAAAUAUACUGAAAAUAUGCAAACUUCGCAAGGCUAUAUUUUCUGCAUUUUACAACAUUUCGCAACCAGAUUUUGCAAUUUUACUAAUUUCAUUAAUUUAUUUUUAACUGUUGUGUUUUAUUCCCUUCUCUUUACUUUGAUUAAAAUUUAGUCUAACAUGCAAGUUGUCCAUUGAGAGAGAAAUUGAGACACUAGAUAACAAAUGUUCUGGGGACUGGGCCCAAACAUUGCGGAAAGCUUGGGGUUUUGGAUAAUAUACCUGCAGGAUCUGGCAAGUUUUUCUGCGUGUCAUAAUGUCAUUGCUUUUUCUUCAGUUCAUGACCAUGUAAUGAUAUGUAGGAAAAUUUCUCAAUUCUGAUUGACUGCAUGAGACCCGUGAAAUGGCUUUUUAAUAGCACAACACUACAAUACAAAAAGUAAAGAAGGGAAGAGUCGGCCUGGGAACGAGAAAAGGAGAACGGGAUAAAUAAAACCGUUUUCAAGAACUACAUAUUACAUUUGCCUUGGUGGAACUUGUGCCCUUCCCGGAGUACUUUGACUCAAACACCUCACUUGAGUAAAAUAAUGCACCACAGUGACUUGCAAGAUUUUGAGUAAAAUUGCUCAAACUAUUUGUGUAGGUAAUAGUAUGGUUUCGAGUGUUAUUUGCCUGGGGAAAACAUGCACGAGUGAGUUUUUCAAAGACGAUCAAAAUUGCACGAGUGCGAAGGACGAGUGCAAUUUGAAGUCUUGAGUGUAUGUUUUUCCAAAUUCCACAAGAAACCGUACUAUUACUUAUUAAUAAUACACUUUAAAAAAUUAUGCAGUCAUGUCCAUGCGUAGGUCACAUGGCGAAAUAGAUAAUUUUAAUAGGCCUAUAGACAAUUUUAUUAGAAAAUUUUGUCACUCGUAAUGUUUGGGUUUUUUGUAUUAUUUUCACAUUUUGCACUGCCACUGUAUUUCAUUUUUUUGUACUGUAUUUCACUUUUUGGCACUGUAUUUCGAAAAAUUGCACUGCUCUUAAGCCAAUCAGAAUUGAGAAUUUUUUUCAUGUAUAUAUUGUUAAUACGCAAAUUUACUCGAUUUUGAUGUACUUAAUUACAUGUACUCAAAUAUGGGUAAAUUUGCGCAUAAAUUUGAGUAAUUGUACUCAAUAUAUUAAGUCACUGGCACUGCCAUACUGCAUGUGGAUCAGUGGAUGCAUUAUUUUUCUCUAAUUUUGAGUCAAACAGUUUUACAGAGUUGAAGAAUAUUGAUGUUUUCUCACUCGAUUUGUUCAGAAAACAAAACUAAAGGAAUUUUUUGUUAACUUAAUUAAAUUAUACCGUGGCCGUGGACCAUGUGAACAAAUUCUCUUGUUACACUUGCAUACGAAUUCUAAUUUUAUAUCAAUAGACGAGGGCCAUUCGGUGGAAUAUCGUUAAGGUGAUAAUGUGAGUAUAUAUAAUCUCACCCUUCUUGAAAUAAAAUUUUGUUAUUAUUCUUAUUAUUACUCGUGAUUGCAGAAACGUCGAUGCGUUAGUUAUACAUCAUAAAAUGUAGAGCAGACAUUACUGCAAUGUUUGUUUGUUUGUUUGUUUUCAUGCUUGUCGCUCACGAUUUUCCGUUUCUCAUGGCAAUAAAAUGACAUACACCUUUGAAUGCCGGGCAAGGAAUCGUGCCACCCAGAGUUGACAUGCAAGAUGAAUAUCACCGAAAUGAAAGAUAAAGCCAAGAUUCUAUGACAAUACUGCAUGCCCUUAAACUGCGUUUAAGUCUUAUUUCCGCAGUCUUGGCCAGCCCAGAGGGCCAAGCCCAAAGUUUUGAUUAAAGCUGUCAAACCUCUAUUAACACUCAGCGCUCAGUUGAUGUAAUAAACUCAGGUGAUGAAGACUGGGAAAAAUCUGUGAUCAUGCAAUUAUAGGUUAUUAAAAAUCCUAGAUAACUCUAUACAGACUAUAUAAAGUAUGACAAUUAAAUUUAACAUAUUCUCCUUCGGUUUCGAAAUAGUUCAAUGUAUAACGUUACAUUCAUGAUCAGUUACCAAUUUCAUUAAGAAGAAAGUAGGCCUACAAUAGUAACAUAGCAUUCGAAAGCUAUGGUCUAUGGACAUCCUCUUUUCGAAUCUGAAUAAUUUUGAAGAUAGCAUCUAAUCUCGAAGAGUGAUAGUGAAUUUACUUUGGCACACAGUAGAUUUGAAGUUAAGUCUAUUUUCUAAAAGUAAUAAAUAUUUGAACCUCUGCGGAGUUUGUUUGGAAAAGUGUGGAAGGGAGGAGGCCGGGGAGCAUGCGAAGCAAUGAAUCUACUGCGGUCAGAUUAUAUUUUGCCCAUUUAUAUCAACUACUGAACUACACCUUCCUAUUUGAUGAACGUUCGAAAUUGUAUGUCUGCUUAAGACAUACGUGGUUUUAAUAUGCUAUUUAAAACAUAUUAUACAGUACUAGUAGGCUAUUCGUUUCCAAAGGAAGAUUUAGAAAAUGCAAUUCAAACUUCUUCGAAAUGGCCCUCGACAGCCGAAGCAAAAAUCGAAAAUUCAAAGUGUCUUCAGGUUCAAAUUGUCCUGUAUUACAUGUAGCCUAAUAUAGCAGUUCUGUUCGCAGGCUAUAUAUCAUUAUGCCCCUUGCACGCACAUUCAAAAUUUCUCAGAUUUUGUGCUAGCUGUAUGCAUGUUAGUGCAUGUUUUAUUCUCAGUUGUCAGACACUCAAUUCUGUCUGAACAUGAUUUCUAUAUCUAUCAUGGAUCAGUUCAGGAGUACGAUUUCUUUUCUUUCUGUCCCAUAUAUCUUUUCAUCUAAUCUAUAUUACACCUCGCAAAAGAAUUUACAUGAAACCUAAGGAAUUGUGUUAUUUUAAACGCUAAUGGUUUGUUUUAAAUACACAAGUAGUUGGUUUGUUUUAAAUAUAUACAACUAUUCUUUUAAAUAUUAUCGUCUGGUCUAUAUAGACCAUAUUGCGCGUCGAAAUAAAAUGCGCGGAAACAGCUUAAAACAUAAGUUAAUUACCGAUAAAAGAUGGACUCUUGCGUGAAUGUUGUAUCGCGCGUGCAAGAUAUUUGAUCUGAUCUUUAGAGUACGAAAGAAUCUUGUCGAUCAGAUAAGUUUUCUUUGAUACAGUAAUAGUUUGAAAGGUCACACAUAUACGUAGCACAAGGUGUCUUAUCAGCCUUGAUCGUUUGCUGAACAACUCUAUGAAAGUCGCUACAUUUGAUGCUAUCUUGAUCCUUGUCGCCAAAGCACGCUUGAUCGCACUUCAUUCAUUAUAUACAAAUGCAAAGCACCGUUGAAUUGCAAUUUUUUUAUCUUUAUUUGCGCUUCUUUGAAAUACUGUAUAGACGUUUCUUCAUUUUCCCAGAAUACUCUUACUUCGAGCACUUAAAUAUACGAUGUAGUGGGAUAUUGAUGAUGAUGCUGGACAAUACCAGCGGUGAAAUUAUAUAAUUACGCAUCAUAUAAAUUUUCUUGUUUUACUUUGCGAGUAGUAAUUGCAACUUUUCCUACCUUCAAUUUUCCGCGCUGUGCUACGUUCCAACAGGAUCUUCUGUACUUCUAAUCUGCUUUCCGCGUGUAUACUACGUUCCACGCCAGUCGAAAAAUGUUUCCGUGCCACGACGAGUACAAUUUGACAGGAAUUUUCUUCUAUUAUUGUCAAAAACGGUCCCUUUAGCGUGUACCGGGUAUUACCUAUUAACAUGAACAGGUUUAUUUAUAAUUAAUAGCGCGAUUAGUCAAUAUUUGUUAAAGGGACUAAUGUAUAUUAGAAAUCUCACAUAUUUAACGAACUUUUGUUCCACAAUUUGCGACCACACCCUCAAAGCUCGUUAAAUAUUCACGCAAUAGACAAUGAACAAUAUGGCGACAUCGUAGUGAAAUCCACGACAUUUAGCCUUAUCCCGUGUUUUAUCAGCUUUUUACAAAGAUCUUCAGUUAUAGUUUUAGCUUGAAUAUGUGUACAAAAUAUGAUUAUCAAGUUGUCGCUAUCGAUUUCGGUUUGUUAUACGGCACAGCUGGUCAGCAAUCAUGAUAACGCGAUUUGCGGUCAAGCUGCUCUCCGCCGCCUUAUGCAUAUUUUAUAAACAGGUGCGUUUGCACAUCUAAUGAGUAGAGUUUUUGUCCCCAGCAGUAUAGCAAAACAAGACCAGCUUUGUUUAAAGCCGUAUUGAAUAAAUUAUGGGCUUGGGGAAACACUUUUAGACUUAUAUUUAUAACUUUUUGGCAAAUCCAUUCCAUUCCAUCGCGCUCGCAAUUGUUAUGAUUCAUUGGAAUUUUAUGGGAUUACAAGUUGAAUGGAGCUCAUAAUAGAGAUAUAGUAUUAUCUCAUAUAGGCAUUAUCCAUAUCUAGCCAUACAAUAGAAUAUCGCGGUUCAGUUUUAUUACUCAUUAUACUUAUCAGUGAAAACGACCAUAUAUUUUGUAUCAGUUUGGGCAUCUCUAGCUCGUGUAUUCCUAUAAACAGUUGCCUAUUCAUGCACAUCUAAACGUGCGAAUAUCAGUGGUUGAAAAUACAGGAACGUCUUGAAAUAGCAACACCCUUCCUCUCAGGUUUAAUUAAUUUUAACCGAUUCGAAAGGAAAUCUGCAUUCAAGAAGAAGGAACAAUUAGCGUAAUUAGAACAAAAUAUUUUUCUGCACUAACAUGCAAACUAGAAAGUAAUUACUUUAUAAUGAGUUAUUAUAUUGUUGUACAAAGCGAGAAAAAAACCCCGGAAAGUGUUGUCGUGUUGAACACCUUAAGGCGAUUCCUCCCCCCUUGUGUACGCACAAGAACUAAUUAGUUUUCCAGCGAUAGUGGUUCAUGUGGGGCUAAUCACUCAUCGAGCUGUUUAAAAUCCGGCGGUGAAAGCAAAUUAAAAAUUUAAAACAGCCAGUUUCUCGGGGCGAUUAUGAUAUUUUAAACUCAAUUGCUGGCUCCGUGAUUAUGACUUUUAUAUGUUUUGUCUAGAGUUCGGGGUCUAUCAUAGUUAUAAAAUUGAUGUACAACAGUUUAAUGGUCAGUAAAUAUUCAACAUUAUGUACGUCAUCCGCGUUCCUGAAGAGGAAUGAUGUUGUUUCACAAUUUCAUUUUACUGUUUGUAAUUAAACUCUUUCAAUACUGAUAUAGGAAUAACACUCAGCAAUUCAAACUCAGAACCAUGCAUAUAUAUAGGCAGAGAAAUUAGCAAUAAUGGACUAAUAAUUAGCAAACUACUCUGUAAGCUCAUCUCUCGAAACGUUGCAGUGUUUUAAUCUAGGAAUCGAUGCACCACUCCGAAAAGUGUACCACGGAUCUUUGGGAUUUCGAAAAUUCCUUGGUAUAUUAUUAGGGAUUUGUAGGAAUUUGGGGAUUUUCAGGGAUUUUAUGCGGAUCUUUUUAAGAUUUUGAGAGAUUUAUUAGGGGAUUUUUAGGGGUUUUUUCCAGGUGUACCGGAGAUUUGUUGGAGUGAUACACCCCUCGGUUUAGUCUUUCUUUAGGCUGAUGUCCAUGACCAUCAACAUCUAAGCUAGACCACGAUUCCUAAUAAUGGGGAAAAAACGAAAUCUGAUUCCCAAAGAAAACUGCAGAUAGCUAGUGUUUGUGACUCGAUCGCUGUUAUUCCAUAGUUUUAUUGGGGUUUUCCAGACUAUCACAGAUUCCACGGUCUUUUUCUAACUAAUUAAACUGCAGGGGCAAUUGGUUCCAUUCUUUUGCUCUUUGUAAUUCUUCAUAUGCAGCUAGACGAAGAAUGACACGUUCCCCAGUCCUUCAAAAUCCUGGAAUUUGAAGGAAAAAAAUUACCAAAGUUAUCAAUGUUUGGGAAAUAAUUAUAAUGUACACUGGUAUUAAGUUGAUAAGAUGAUAUCCCAUCCCGAAAAGUAUGUGGUGCGCCAAUUAUGAUAUGAACUGAGAGGAAUCCUCCGCUAUAUAUAGUUAAGGGAAGGAGUUGAUCAGAAUCAUUGAAUCCAGAUCGUUAAAUUAAAAUGUGAAAGGUAUAAAAGAUAUUUUCAUUAAAUUCGACGGUGGUGCUGUCGUGAUCAAGUCAUCAAUCGAUGACGUGAAUGAUUGGCCACUUUUAUAUGUUUCCCUUGCGAGACCACUUAAUUCGGGGAGCUAGCAUGAUCUUUCAAUAAAUAAUAAUUAGAAAAAAAUAAGAAAAAUCUAAAAGUAAAGUCUACUACCAGUACCAGUACUAGGACAUUUUACUUGAAUAAAUGCAUUAAUAGAAAGGUAUGAGCGCUGUUAAAAGCUUUUUGUUUAAAUUUUAAGCCGGUUUUCAAGAAUACAUAGUCGUUUCGAACGAUGACCGUGCUCUUCACAUGCGUAAAAAGAUUGAGACUGGCUUUCAUGUUUGGCUUCAAAUUUCUGGUUGGAGCUAGCGUUCCAGUUAUAUUAAUUUCACUGCCUCGAACUAUAAUCAGAACUUCGACGUUUUAUCACGGCCACUAACCUCACGACGAAAGGCCUUCGCUCGAAACGUCGAAAUUCUGCUUAUAUGAAAUUCUGUAUCACUCACAAUCCGCAGCUGUCUCAUGCAUAAGUCACUGGAUUGAAGAGUGUGAUUUAAUGAGCCUGGAAUAUUCUUAUCAUGCACCAUUAUUUCUUCAAUCCGCAUUUGGGACUGAGUACGAAUCAGCUCUUACCCCUCGACGCAAGCGUCUGAUUUCCACAACCAUUGGAGUGAAGAGGGUCAAUGUGCGGCGCUGCGUGUUACAGACACGAAUUCUGAAAUGCAUAAUUUGUUUGGUUUCAGCACUAGCUUCUCCUACAGUUAACCCUAUGUUUCAUCCAUUGAAUGUUUCAUUAUAUAUUAUAUAUGGUUUAUUCCCAAAUCUAGCUUGGAACGAAACUAUCUUCCUGAAACGUGCAAAAAGCUCUUAUUGAUCAAACAUAAUGGGUGUUGGAUCGACUCAAAAAGUGAGGGGUCCAUGUCAGUGCCAUUACCUGGGAGGUACGACGCUCCAUUAAGAGAUACAUGGUUUUUCCCGGGGGUGAGUGGCAUGCUUCUCUGGGAAAUGUUUGUUUAUAUACCGUUUCUGAAAUCCCACUCCCUGCAUUGUUUAGCAAAAUAUUUAGAAAUAUCUAACUAAAUUAAAAUAUGGAGGGGUUCAAACAAACGACGCCCCUGUUAAACAUUAACAUCGCAUAAAAAAUAGCGAUAGUAAAUACAUAAUAUUUAAGUGCAAUCUAAAAUGAUAUCUUCUUCUGAAGAUUAUUAGAUGUCAUAAAUCAAAAGUGAUUACAGAAAUUUUCAUGGAAAUUGCAUCGCUAUUGUAUUUAUACUAUAUGAUCGUGCCGUUAUAUUGAUAAUAGGGAGUUUAAGCUUCACGUUUCCGGGAACGCCAAACGGCAGGUUUGAACUUUCUUGGUAAAACUUUUUCGUUUCAUAUUUUCUUUCUUGUGUCGAAAGAAUAAUCAUGCAUUGCAGUUUUGAAACAGCAAGUUCAUUUACUUUUUAUUGCCUGAUACCGUAAAUUUUUGCUUUGCCUGCAUGGCGUUUGCUGUUUGACGUAUAACGUGAAGCUUAAGCUCUCCAUUGUCAUUGAUACUGAUAAAAUAUCGAAUAAAACGACCAAAUAUACUUUAUUAAAAGCCCCGUUUACACUUGCAAUUUUUGUCGCGAUUUCUAAUCCCCCAACCAAAAAAAUACUUGGUUAGCGUCACCCUCUCACAAAUUUUCAGAGGCGGGCGGGUGGAUUUUUUUUUAAUUUUUACUCGUUUUUUAAUUUUUUAAUAGUAUUUUUGGAGGGGAUGGGGGGCGGUUUUUCCACCAUAUCGGUGAUAUUUUUUGUACUGACGUUGCGAAGGCCGCCAUUUUGCUUUAAGAACCUUGUAUACCCAAGCCUACGCGCUCCUAUCGAUCAGUAUAUAGCGCGAAGGUCUGAGCAUGAGAAAAAUUUCAAAUAUUAAACUGUUUUAAGCUGUAAAACGAGGAGAUUUACAUAAAAAAAUAAAAAAAAAUUCAGAGGCGGCAGAAAAUCGAGAGGCGGGCGGUGACGCUAACCAAGUAUUUUUUUUAUUUGGCCUAAUGCGAAUUUCUUUUUCUGAUGGACGAGUUACGAAUGUUCUUGAGUACGUACAUCUGAACAUUCGUGAUUCAUCCAUCCGUUCACAUAACAAAAAUUGCAAGUGUAAAACUGAUCUUUACUGAAUUGCUGCGCAUGUUUGCGCAUGCAAUUUGCACAUUCGAAGAACAUUCUGGUAGUUGUGAAUACACAUGAGUAAGGCAUACAUCUUCAGAGAAUAAUUGAUUCAUAAGGUUUUCAUAAACUGCGAAAUACUUUUAAGAUUUAAUUACUUUUAAUUGAACAAACGUGUGAAAUACCUUGAAGCCACCUUGUACAGAUUUGGACCUCAGCUUAUAUAUUAUAUUGUGCUGUUUCGUGGGUGGCUUGUAUUGAUAGGAUGCAUAAUAAAUAAUAACCAUAUGUUAUAGAUUGUUAAAAUAUGGACAUAUUCCGAGCCUCCAGGGAUAGUCUGGAAUGAAGCCAUUCUAUUUUACCCUUGCUACUUUACUAUGUUUUAGCCGCCUUCCUGACUGUAACAUAUACAAGUGUUCAUUAAGAAUUUGUGGAAUACAGCAUUAUUUCAAACCGCGAUAUUUAGUAACAACUUCUUAUACUGUCUGAGAGACACUGCUUCAUCUACAGUAUAGCUCACUAGAUGUAUACGAAAUCAGUCAGUCAGUCAGUCAGUUGACUUGAAGAACGAAACCCAGAUGAAACGUGAAUGAGAGUGCAUGAGAGUUGGUAGUCACCGGGCUCACGCGACCUUGGUUAGCUUUCUCAACAUCAUCAUGUAUUUUAUAUAAGUUAAAACGUAGUUGGGACACUCAUCAAACUUUGAUUUUAUUAAUCUAGAAUUUGAAAUGUCCCUGUAACAAUUUGCCAGUGACUGACAACUCUCAGCAACUCCCAUCAGGCUCGUUUGACCGGGGCGCCACCGAGCGAGAGCAACGAGCGUGGCCCUGGGGACGAGGAUGCUGGGGCUUUAGAAUAUGCAUAUCAUUUUAUUGAACUGUUCAACAUUUGCAUAUGAAAAAAGUUGCCCAAAGAACAUUGAAUACUCCGCGAAGUUGAUUCGCUUUAAAUUAAAUUUGAAAAUAUAUUCCCUUAUAGGUGUACUUUUCUCUACUGUUUUGCUUUACACAGUAGCCGCAAAAUACGCUAGUAGAAAAAUAUUUAUUUUGCAAUUCUACUCAGUACUGUAUUGUGGCUACAGGGUGUCCCAAGAAACCAAAAACUAUUAAAUAAUUAACGCAUUGUUAGAAUUUGAAUGCCUCGGCACUCUGCUGAAUCCACAAGUGCAUAUAAAAGCUUGGCAUAAGUAAAUUUUAUGCAUAAAGAAACUGUUUAAAAAAAUGUUUGUAAGAGAGAUUCAUGUAAUAAAUCGUAAAGUUAUUUUCGUUUAGAAUUUAUUAAGAAGCUGCUUUAAAUUCCCAAGAACAGAAAAUCGUGCGCUUACAAAGAUAUUUUAAUUUCAUAAUAACUGAAUAUUUAAUAUGUGCACCCUGUCAAUAUUUUACGCAUCUUUGCGUUCAGCUUUGUACUAGGGCAUUCGAAUUCUAACAAUACGUUAUUUCAAUAGUUUUGGGGGUUUUUUUUGGACACCCUCGUGUAUAAGUGAAACACAAAUAAUGGGCAUGUAGUAAAACACUGACUACCGGAACACCGGAACACCGCCGGAACACCGGUGGUGUUCCGGUGUUCCGGUAGUCAGUGUUUUACUACAUGCCCAAAUAAUGAUUGAAUAGUUCAAUACUUUUAUGUGCAUAUUCUAAUCCCUUCAGUCUCAGCCACAUGUUAUGAUUCAAAUGCAAUUUGUUCCCUGCGCAAAACGCGCCAUGAAACUCCGAUUUCGUCUAGAAGCAAAACGUGUGCACAAGUGACCUCGACCUUGAGUAUCGUGUGUCAUGUCAGUGUUUAUACUGACGACUCUCGUUCUUUACUCGAUUCUAUAUUUCAUCGACAUCGUGUUACGUUGUUUUAUAAAUCGAGGUUAUAAUGAACCGAUCACAGAAACCGUUCUUAACAUCCCUAAGAACCCCCAACCUUGCGAUUUUUCAUUUUACUCACGACACAUGCAUGCGUGACUAAUUUGGCCCCUUUUUAACACUCAUUCAGGGCCGUAGUCACUUGGGAAUGGGGGAGGGGGCAGGACCAGACCCACUCUAUUUCAGGACCAAUUUUGUAAUUCUUCCAAAACUGAGGAGGAACUUUAGGGCGUAACCUCGAAAUGAUAGGCGUCAAAAGAUCGAUAAGUGAGAGGGGGGACCAUAUUCAUAUAUUCGUGUUCUGCAUUAUUAAUUUCUUUUGAAAUCAAUUGUUUUUACGGUCUGUGAACACGAAUAUAUGAAUAUGUCCCCCCCCCCCACUUAUCGAUCUUUUGACGCCUAUGCUCGAAAUGCUUUCAUCUAUGAAAUUACCGAACUCCACAGUUGUUCUGCAUAUUCGACUAUUGGACCACCCUCGCCCAUGCACUCAUUGACAUUGUUUGUUCUGCAUGAGCUUGCAAUUAUUGUGGUUAUGUCAAGCGACUCAAUUAGCUUGUCCUCUUUGUUUGAACAACGAAAUAUAUUAUAAUUAUAAUAUAGAAACGCACAUGUCCGUUGAGUUCAGGGAAGUUAUCCAUAUACUCCGAGUGGAAAAAUGUGUGUGUAGCACAGAUUUUGCAAUCUCAAAUAUUUACAGCUAGAGGGCACAGUGUUUUUGAAAACGUCUUAUCUGCAGGUUAGGCUAUAGCUGUCACGCUAUCUCUACCAACUCUAUUGGCUUACGUACGGUAUUGACUAUUGGGUGGUCAUCUGUAAUUUCUCAGUUCGGGUUAUUGUAUUUCACUUGAGUUUGGUAUUUCGAGUUUUAGAGAAUAUAGCUUUUACAGUUUUAGCAAUUCAAGGGACCGGUUGUAAUAGUAUAAAAAGGUAGUUGAGUGGGAAGGUCAAAAUGGCAUAUUUUAAGAGUUAGAGUAGAGCAUAUUUUGAGAAAUGUAUACGCAGUGCCGUAACGGAGGAAGCCGGGGGGCCCUCAGGCAUUUUUGGUGUGGGGCCCCUGUUGACUGUUGUUAUUGUUUGACUGAGAUAUUAUAUUUAUAUUGAAUAUUUAUAGAAUGUUCUGGAAAAUUCCGUGUCUGUAACAAUAACAGUCUCCAACACAACCGUAAUAAGAAUUGAUUUAUUUUAUUUGAGAUAAAAUAACAAAAUCAGUUACCAUUGUCGAUGGAGGCUUUAUUAUUUAACAUUAUUAAUUUUGCAUUUUCCCAUUGAUUCUUAACCUGCAUUUAUUACGUUUUCUAAUUUUCUGGGCGAUAGGCUGUGGACUUAUAUCAGAGUAUAUUCGAAAUAAAUCUCUGCAGUUGUAAUGUCACCUUUAUGCAUAAUGACGUCACAAGGCUCGAUGCCCGCGAGGAAUGCUGGUUUUAGUGUAUAGUCAUCGCCCGGGAAAAUUUCAGUAGUGGCCAUCUUGAAUUGUUUAAUUUUCCCGCCUACAUCAAGCCUUUCGUUUCUCACAAACACAGUCAUGCACAAACACCCAGUCUCCGCUUCUGAUUUCAAAAUCCUAUCGUCAAGCACUUCUGAGUGGGAUCUUCUUAUCCGUGAAAGCCUAUUAAUUUCUCAACCUAACCCUGUCCUUAAUGCUAAUAUUAGAUCUACCCCUCUUGAGUUAUUUUAGUUAUGUAAUAUUGACCUUAACUAUACUAACCAUGCACUUAACCUUAACGUCGUUAAUCUUUACUAAUUAACUAGUUUAUACUGAUAAGUUGUUUUCCUUUUUUUCUAUUUAUUUGUUCUUUCAAACUUUGUAACCGUUUUUGUAAUAUUAAACCAUUGUUUUGCAAAUGUAUAUAUAUAUAUAUAUAUAUAUAUAUAUAUAUAUAUAUAUAUAUAUAUAUAUAUAUAUAUAUAUAUAUAUAUAUAUAUAUAUAUAUAUAUAUAUAUAUAUAUAUAUACCGUACCUGUAAUUUCAUUUAGAUUGCUCUGAAGAUGUUGUAUUGUAAAAAACGAAACGUUAGCUAUUAAAUUUUUUAACUUUUGGUAUGUUUGGUUUUAAAGUUAUUUGCUGGGCUCUGCUUUUUAUCUUUAAAUUAAGGUCUAUUCAAACAAGCAAGGAGGUUUUAAGAGCAGGUUGUUAUUUAAUUAAGUUAAUUCGCUUACUAUUUAUAGAAACGAAAAUCACGCACGCCAUGUAAAUGUCAGUCGCACACGCGACUAAAUUUAUAAUGUUUGUAUUCGAACUGUCGAGUUUUGUCUGAAGUUUAGACUGGGUUGUUUUGUAAUUUCUCGAUCAUUAUCAAUCACAUAAUUUAUACAAGUUAUAGAGAGAUCGCGAGAUAGGGUGUUCUUCGUGUCGUCGUUUAAUGAGAGGUGACCCAGAUGUGUAUGCCGACACUGACGCUAAGUCGGGGUGCUGAACUGAGGAGUGGUCAAUUAAUAAGAACCAGAUGUUAGUAUUUAAUUGAGAGCAUACAUAUCUUAUUAUACAGGUCAGUGGAAUAGACGGCGACGUUUAACCUCGGUUAAACACUUUCUUUGAAAAAUAUAUGCCGACAUCUCAAGCAAACAAACUUUAUGACUCCUCUUGAAUUACGCAUUCAUCAUAUGUCUUAACAAUCACAUGAUCAGAUGAUACAAGCCAAUCUCUGACAGCAAGCAAACAAAAACAAAUACAAGAGGCAGUUGUCCUGCGUGUUCGACAUUCUUUAAAUCACUGUUGACCUUUUUAGAGUAUCUAGCGAUAAACAGACCCAGAAUAUAGAGACUGUCUGGAGCCGUGUAUUAACUUGAUAUAAACAAUAUCGAACGUAUUUGCAGACUGGUAAAUUCCAUUGCCAAUGUUGUUUUAUAGGGAAGAUAUUUUGAGAGGAAACUGUUUAAAAUCACAUUUUUUACUCAUAUUAUAAUUAAGAGAUAAGAACAUAAAUUGUUUGUUUUCUUUAACAAUUUCCCAGAUAUAGUGGAAAGUAAUGACAGUUUGGAGUGUUCAAUUGAACAAUGUUUGCGGUGCCAAAAAAACUUUGGCUUUAAAUUCGCUUGCGUACCAUAGAUAUAUAUUAUGAAAUCCUAUAACAGCUUCAUUUGUUAAUCGUAGUUGUAGUGUGGUUUUUCCCAGGCUAUCGCAGAUUCCAUAGGACCAUACCUUUUCGACCAUUCAGUUAACUAAACUAGAGUGGUAUAAUUGGCUCCACUUCUCUUACUCUUUGUUUUUCUUCACAUAUACAGCUAGACGAAGACACGUUCCCCAGCCAUCGGUGAAAAUCCUGGAAUUUGGAAAAAAAAAUGACUAAAGUGUCGUAACUAGUGAUAAGAUUUUUCCCCAUUCCAAAAAGUAUGUGGUGUGCCAAUUAUGAUAUGAACUGAGGGGAAUACUCCGUUGUAUUUAAAGGAAACAAGUUGAUCAGAAUCAUUGAAUCGAGAUCGUUAUAAAUAAGAAUGUGAAAGAUAUGAAAGAUAUUCUCAUUAAAUUUAACGAUGGUGCGACGUAUGAAACAGGCCUAAUCGUGACCAAGUCAUCAGUCGACGAAGUGGAAGAGGUUAUUUCGCUGGCCUCAGAGUGACAAAACGUAACAAAGCAACGGUUUUACUGGCACUAACCGUAUUCCAAACACCAACUCUAACCUUAAUCCUAACCGUAACCUAACCCUACUCGAUAGAUAUAGUAUGAAUCCUAACAGCUUCAUUUGUUAGUCAGUCAGCUCAAAGAUAAAUCAUCCAGAAAUGUAAUCAUAUUCAUAUCUAGCAUUGUAAACAUGAUAUUGAUAAAACGUAAAAUUUUGCAUUGUAAUAGGAACACCUAAUCCCACAUAAAAUUAUCAAGGACAUAACGUGGGAUAAUGGGAUGGUGACGUGUGGUAGAUUAUGAUUAGAUUAAUUAUGGACCACAAAAUCUCGCACAAAAUAGGAACAACAAUGCAACAUAUCAGUAUACGUGAACCAUUUACGCACGCAGGGGAAAUUUGUGGUUGAGAAGAUAUGUGUUUUUGUUCUGUUAGUAUAAAUAUAGG
This 16556-nucleotide long non-coding RNA is filed under the name Paramuricea clavata. Lineage: Eukaryota; Metazoa; Cnidaria; Anthozoa; Malacalcyonacea; Plexauridae. The record is from RNAcentral.